GGAGAAACUACGCGGUGUGGCUGCAGGUGGAGCCUUGGACCAACUGGCCAGCGCCGCUUCCUUCCACCAGGAUUCCUGGCCCCACCGCGCGCUAGGCGGAGGCUCAGCGGGGGCGACUCUGGCUGGAGCCCAGCCCUCACCUCCCCCACCCCCACAUCUGCUCUAGCUAGGAAAAAAAAAAAGAAAAAAAAAAUCCCGGACAGCAUUGCUGAGUCCUGCCAAAUCAGAAAAAUAAAUAAAAAUAGACGUAGUGCAGGAGCGAGUUACAAGAAAGGUUUUGUUCAUCGAUUUUCUUAAAUGGAAAAGUUUUAAAGGAUGAGGGUAAGUGAACGGCGAGCUUUUCUGAUUCUGAUUACUGUUAUCAAGAGGUAGAUUCCAGAAGCGAUGGACGCUCUACGUAGUUAGAUGAAUUGGAUAGAAGCCGGUGCGGUUAAAAAUACACUUGGAAGAUAAGAACACAGCUAUUAAUUACGCACAUACACACGUUAAUAAAGCAUGUGAAGUAAGCAAAUAAACUACAGUGCAGAGAAUGGCGUUUUUAACGACGGCGAUCUAUUUUAAAACUUAAUGAAGUUCACAUUUUGUGGACUGGUCUUAGAAAUAAGUAAACUUCAGAAAUAACACGCAUACAAUUCCAGUGAGAACCCAAAAGGUUUAUGGAAGAAGAAAAUCGCAACCACUUCCAAGGCGCUAUUGUUAUGAUCACAUGAAGAAUGGCAGGCACAGCCUUCUUUCACCACUUGAACUUUCAAUAGCUACAAAGUCUUGCAGUUACAGGCUUGUGCCAACUCGUCGGGCCACACCACGUUCCCCUCCCCCUGCCGCUGCGCCCCGAAAUCAACUGCGCGCCGCGGCUCUUGCUCCCCAAGGGGGCUUCGCAGAUGGUACGGAUCCUAGUCGCAACCUUUAAACAAAGUAACAUCGGGCGGCCCAGCAGUUCUCGGAGAGAUAUUUACUAGUCAUGGAGUUGGCUGAGAAAAGCAAGUGCGGAGAUCGGGGUCUCAGUCCCACUUAGGCCGAGUUUCUUUAUAUUGGAAACUGUACCUGUUCCCUAAUUGGGACUAAGACCACUAAUAAGUCCACGUUCCCUCUUUGGUCGCUUCUCUAAGUACAGACAUCUGCUUAAGAGGCUUCACGAAGAAUAAAUGCACAUGGGUCAACACCCAUUCCCCCCGCACCACUACCACCACCUGGAAAAGUAACGCUGAGCCAAGAAGCGAGCGAUUAAAUUUACCUAAUUUAAAAUUAUAGAAUACGAGAGUUAAAGAAUUGGAGUCUACUUUUCACAGUGAAGAAAUACCACCCAGAAUCUUCCUGGCAAUUACUAGAUCCUAGUCUCACCAUCCAAGUAGGAGCCCUUCCUUCUGACCACGUGAUAUUACAUUUCCACCUGCCAGAAAAGAUGCUCCCGGAGCUGGAAGAAAAGCCAGCUAUUGUCAGGCUCCCGAAACCCCCAGGGGAGCACCUGUGGGGAAGCCAGGCUAUGAAACCUCAUGAUGUCAUUUCCCCAUAAGUGCGCCUCAGACUCACUUCCAGAAGCCUGCAGUAAGUUUUCAGUAAAACCACUGCCCCUUCAAAGCCUUUGAAGUCUGCAAUUUAUACCCUGUCCCUUCAGGAAAAGAAAGCCAAAGAGUUAAAGAAUCACAGAGUGAUGAGAAGGUGACUUCAGUGGUUUUUUUUAAAGUGACGUAAAAUGGAGUGUUUGAGGCCCUGGUCUCUGGAGGCCAUCUGCGGUUAAUGUAAC
RNAcentral lists this long non-coding RNA (1744 nucleotides) under Homo sapiens (human). RNAcentral describes it as "HSALNT0093181". Lineage: Eukaryota; Metazoa; Chordata; Mammalia; Primates; Hominidae. The record is from RNAcentral.